Non-coding RNA from Phrynosoma platyrhinos (Desert horned lizard), 73 nucleotides. The record is from the annotation of a GenBank genome assembly. Lineage: Eukaryota; Metazoa; Chordata; Lepidosauria; Squamata; Phrynosomatidae.
GCCAGCGUGGCGGAGUGGUUUGAACAUCAGGCUACAACUCUGGAGAGCCAGGGUUCAAAUCCCAGCCCAGCCA